This 497-nucleotide ribosomal RNA is filed under the name uncultured bacterium. Its description in RNAcentral is "partial 16S ribosomal RNA". It matches the Rfam family "Bacterial small subunit ribosomal RNA", at positions 28 to 507 of the family's 1533-position model. The record is from RNAcentral.
GAUGAACGCUGGCGGCGUGCCUAAUACAUGCAAGUCGAGCGAACGGACGAGAAGCUUGCUUCUCUGAUGUUAGCGGCGGACGGGUGAGUAACACGUGGAUAACCUACCUGUAAGACGGGGAUAACUUCGGGAAACCGGAGCUAAUACCGGAUAAUAUUUUGAACCGCAUGGUUCAAAAGUGAAAGACGGUCUUGCUGUCACUUAUAGAUGGAUCCGCGCUGCAUUAGCUAGUUGGUAAGGUAACGGCUUACCAAGGCAACGAUGCAUAGCCGACCUGAGAGGGGGAUCGGCCACACUGGAACUGAGACACGGUCCAGACUCCUACGAGAGGCAGCAGUAGGGAAUCUUCCGCAAUGGGCGAAAGCCUGACGGAGCAACGCCGCGUGAGUGAUGAAGGUCUUCGGAUCGUAAAACUCUGUUAUUAGGGAAGAACAUAUGUGUAAGUAACUGUGCACAUCUUGACGGUACCUAAUCAGAAAGCCACGGCUAACUACGUG